GGGUUUUUGAUGGAGGGUUUGAUCCUGGCUCAGGACGAACGCUGGCGGCGUGCUUAACACAUGCAAGUCGAACGGUAAGGCUCCAGCUUGCUGGGGUACACGAGUGGCGAACGGGUGAGUAACACGUGGGUGACCUGCCCUGCACUUCGGGAUAAGCCUGGGAAACUGGGUCUAAUACCGGAUAGGACCGCACCGUGAGGGUGUGGUGGAAAGUUUUUUCGGUGUGGGAUGGGCCCGCGGCCUAUCAGCUUGUUGGUGGGGUAAUGGCCUACCAAGGCGGCGACGGGUAGCCGGCCUGAGAGGGUGGACGGCCACAUUGGGACUGAGACACGGCCCAGACUCCUACGGGAGGCAGCAGUGGGGAAUAUUGCACAAUGGGCGGAAGCCUGAUGCAGCGACGCCGCGUGGGGGAUGACGGCCUUCGGGUUGUAAACUCCUUUCACCAUCGACGAAGGGUUUCUGACGGUAGAUGGAGAAGAAGCACCGGCUAACUACGUGCCAGCAGCCGCGGUAAUACGUAGGGUGCGAGCGUUGUCCGGAAUUACUGGGCGUAAAGAGCUCGUAGGUGGUUUGUCGCGUCGUCUGUGAAAUUCCGGGGCUUAACUCCGGGCGUGCAGGCGAUACGGGCAUAACUUGAGUACUGUAGGGGAGACUGGAAUUCCUGGUGUAGCGGUGAAAUGCGCAGAUAUCAGGAGGAACACCGGUGGCGAAGGCGGGUCUCUGGGCAGUAACUGACGCUGAGGAGCGAAAGCAUGGGGAGCGAACAGGAUUAGAUACCCUGGUAGUCCAUGCCGUAAACGGUGGGCGCUAGGUGUGGGUUUCCUUCCACGGGAUCCGUGCCGUAGCUAACGCAUUAAGCGCCCCGCCUGGGGAGUACGGCCGCAAGGCUAAAACUCAAAGGAAUUGACGGGGGCCCGCACAAGCGGCGGAGCAUGUGGAUUAAUUCGAUGCAACGCGAAGAACCUUACCUGGGCUUGACAUAUACAGGAUCGCGCCAGAGAUGGUGUUUCCCUUGUGGCUUGUAUACAGGUGGUGCAUGGUUGUCGUCAGCUCGUGUCGUG
This 1061-nucleotide ribosomal RNA is filed under the name Corynebacterium sp. HMSC076C10. Its description in RNAcentral is "bacterial SSU rRNA". It matches the Rfam family "Bacterial small subunit ribosomal RNA", at positions 1 to 1069 of the family's 1533-position model. Lineage: Bacteria; Bacillati; Actinomycetota; Actinomycetes; Mycobacteriales; Corynebacteriaceae. The record is from RNAcentral.